CAGUAGCCACGGUAAUACGAAGGGGGCUAGCGUUGUUCGGAAUUACUGGGCGUAAAGCGCACGCAGGCGGCUCGAUAAAUUAGAAGUGAAAGCCUUGGGCUUAACCUGAGAAUUGCUUUUAAGACUGUCGAGCUAGAAUCCAGAAGAGGGUAGUGGAAUUCCGAGUGUAGAGGUGAAAUUCGUAGAUAUUCGGAAGAACACCAGUGGCGAAGGCGACUACCUGGUCUGGCAUUGACGCUCAUGUGCGAAAGCGUGGGGAGCAAACAGGAUUAGAUACCCCGGUAGUCCCUGUCUCUUAUCA
This 301-nucleotide ribosomal RNA is filed under the name uncultured bacterium. RNAcentral describes it as "partial 16S ribosomal RNA". It matches the Rfam family "Bacterial small subunit ribosomal RNA", at positions 509 to 809 of the family's 1533-position model. The record is from RNAcentral.